RNAcentral lists this long non-coding RNA (650 nucleotides) under Cyanistes caeruleus (blue tit). RNAcentral describes it as "lncRNA (ENSCCEG00000000314.1)". The record is from RNAcentral. Lineage: Eukaryota; Metazoa; Chordata; Aves; Passeriformes; Paridae.
GAUUUGCCUCCUGUGCUAGGCAAGAACCUUGGGAUGGGCUUUGUGUGCCUGCUGUCCUAGCACACUGCUGGAGGAGCCCCUGGCCACGUGCCAGGCCCCCUGUGAUUCUGUGCUGCAGAAGAGGUUUUGUCAUGAUCCACUGACCCUCCCAGAAGAUGCUUUAAUGUUGCUGAUUCUACCUUAGAUGUGCAGACAGGAAGGCAGGAAUGCACUUCUGGGAGAGGCACUGCACCUCCUGCAGCGUUGGAACCUGAGGGAAUUGGUCACCAGGAGCUGUGAUUUCCUUCUGUGAUCCUCCAGCUGUUCUACCUCUCUGUGUGCUACUCAGCAACAUAUCAAGGCUUUAAGAGUGGCUGCUGCUUGCACUGUGAAGAAAGGUGGUCCUUCCAGCCUUUCCCAGCAAGGUGACAUUGUCCUGUCCCUAAGGGGACUGUUGGAGCUCUAAAGUAUUUGAGUGGGAGUCUGUGACUUGAGGUUUCACUUGGUCCUUGCUGGAUAAUACAUCCCAGCUGGGGCAUUCCUAUGACACUUAAACCAUUUUGCUGUUGCCCAAAGAGUCUGGGGACUCCCCAUCCCUUCAAGUGUUCAAGAUUGGACAGGGCUUGGAGCAAACUGGUCUAGUGGAAGGUGUCCCUGCCCAUGGCAGGGGG